This 1419-nucleotide ribosomal RNA is filed under the name metagenome. RNAcentral describes it as "bacterial SSU rRNA". It matches the Rfam family "Bacterial small subunit ribosomal RNA". The record is from RNAcentral.
GUGCGUAACACGUGGGCAAUCUGCCUCCAAGACUGGGAUAACCUUCCGAAAGGAGGGCUAAUACCGGAUGUGGUGGUUUAUCGAAUGAUAGAUUGACUGAAGGCGGGGACCGCAAGGCCUGCCACUUGGAGAGGAGCCCGCGUCCCAUCAGCUAGUUGGUGAGGUAACGGCCCACCAAGGCUUACGGGUAGCUGGUCUGAGAGGAUGGUCAGCCACACUGGGACUGAGACACUGCCCAGACUCCUACGGGAGGCUGCAGUCGAGGAUCUUUUGCAAUGGGCGCAAGCCUGACAAAGCGACGCUGCGUGGAGGAUGAGGGCCUUCGGGUUGUAAACUCCUGUCAUCUGGGAAAAACCGUUGCCGAGUGAAUAGCUCGGCGAUUUGAUGGUACCAGAAGAGGAAGCCACGGCUAACUCUGUGCCAGCAGCCGCGGUAAUACAGAGGCGGCAAGCGUUGUUCGGAUUUACUGGGCGUAAAGGGUGCGUAGGUGGUGCGAUGUGUCAAGCGUGAAAUCCCACGGCUCAACCGUGGAACUGCGCCUGAAACUGUCGCGCUAGAGUGCAGAAGAGGAGAGCGGAAUUCUUGGUGUAGCGGUGAAAUGCGUUGAUAUCAAGAAGAACGCCGGUGGCAAGGCGGCUCUCUGGGAUGCAACUGACACUGAGGCACGAAAGCUGGGGGAGCAAACAGGAUUAGAUACCCUGGUAGUCCCAGCCUUAAACGGUGUGAACUUGGUGUGGGGGGAAUUGACCCCCUCCGUACCGCAGCUAACGCGUUAAGUUCACCGCCUGGGGAGUACGGUCGCAAGAUUAGAACUCAAAGAAAUUGACGGGGCCCGCACAAGCGGAGGAGCAUGUGGCUCAAUUCGAUGCAACGCGAAGAACCUUACCAGGGCUUGACAUGUAGGUGCAUCCUCUCUGAAAGGAGGGGAGCCUUCGAGGGUCCUACACAGGUGCUGCAUGGCUGUCGUCAGUUCGUGCCGUGAGGUGUUGGGUUAAGUCCCGCAACGAACGCAACCCCUGUGUCUCAGUUGCCACCCCCAGCGAUGAGUUGGGGAGCACUCUAGACAGACUGCCUGUGCAAGCAGGAGGAAGGUGGGGAUGACGUCAAGUCAGUAUGGCCUUUAUGCCCUGGGCUGCACACGUGCUACAAUGGCCGGUACAGAAGGAUGCGAAACCGCGAGGUGGAGCAAAUCCCUAAAAUCGGCCCCAGUUCAGAUUGAAGUCUGCAACUCGACUUCAUGAAGCCGGAUUCGCUAGUAAUGGCGCAUCAGCUACGGCGCCGUGAAUACGUUCCCGGGCCUUGUACACACCGCCCGUCACAUCAUGAAAGCCGUCUGCACCCGCAGUCGCUGCACCAACCCGCAAGGGAGGAAGGCGCCGAAGGUGUGGGGGGUGAUUGGGAUGAAGUCGGAACAAGGUA